Molecule: ribosomal RNA, 460 nt
Filed under: uncultured bacterium
Lineage: Bacteria
Description: partial 16S ribosomal RNA
Rfam family: Bacterial small subunit ribosomal RNA
Source: RNAcentral
CCUACGGGAGGCAGCAGUGAGGAAUAUUGGUCAAUGGACGAGAGUCUGAACCAGCCAAGUAGCGUGAAGGAUGACUGCCCUAUGGGUUGUAAACUUCUUUUAUAUGGGAAUAAAACGUUCCACGUGUGGGAUUUUGUAUGUACCAUAUGAAUAAGGAUCGGCUAACUCCGUGCCAGCAGCCGCGGUAAUACGGGGGAUCCGAGCGUUAUCCGGAUUUAUUGGGUUUAAAGGGAGCGUAGGUGGAUUGUUAAGUCAGUUGUGAAAGUUUGCGGCUCAACCGUAAAAUUGCAGUUGAAACUGGCAGUCGUGAGUACAGUAGAGGUGGGCGGAAUUCGUGGUGUAGCGGUGAAAUGCUUAGAUAUCACGAAGAACUCCGAUUGCGAAGGCAGCUCACUGGACUGCAACUGACACUGAGGCUCGAAAGUGUGGGUAUCAAACAGGAUUAGAUACCCUUGUAGUC